GGUUAAGCGACUAAGCGUACACGGUGGAUGCCCUGGCAGUCAGAGGCGAUGAAGGACGUGCUAAUCUGCGAAAAGCGUCGGUAAGGUGAUAUGAACCGUUAUAACCGGCGAUGUCCGAAUGGGGAAACCCAGUGCAAUUCGUUGCACUAUCGUUAACUGAAUACAUAGGUUAACGAGGCGAACCGGGGGAACUGAAACAUCUAAGUACCCCGAGGAAAAGAAAUCAACCGAGAUUCCCCCAGUAGCGGCGAGCGAACGGGGAGCAGCCCAGAGUCUGAAUCAGCUUGUGUGUUAGUGGAACGGUCUGGAAAGUCCGACGGUACAGGGUGAUAGUCCCGUACACCAAAAUGCACAGGCUGUGAACUCGAAGAGUAGGGCGGGACACGUGGUAUCCUGUCUGAAUAUGGGGGGACCAUCCUCCAAGGCUAAAUACUCCUGACUGACCGAUAGUGAACCAGUACCGUGAGGGAAAGGCGAAAAGAACCCCGGCGAGGGGAGUGAAAAAGAACCUGAAACCGUGUACGUACAAGCAGUGGGAGCACCUUCGGGUGUGACUGCGUACCUUUUGUAUAAUGGGUCAGCGACUUAUAUUAUGUAGCAAGGUUA
RNAcentral lists this ribosomal RNA (606 nucleotides) under Pseudomonas aeruginosa. RNAcentral describes it as "partial 23S ribosomal RNA". It matches the Rfam family "Bacterial large subunit ribosomal RNA", at positions 1 to 648 of the family's 2925-position model. The record is from RNAcentral. Lineage: Bacteria; Pseudomonadati; Pseudomonadota; Gammaproteobacteria; Pseudomonadales; Pseudomonadaceae.